AACGAACGCUGGCGGCAUGCCUAACACAUGCAAGUCGAACGAGACCUUCGGGUCUAGUGGCGCACGGGUGCGUAACGCGUGGGAACCUGCCUUUAGGUUCGGGAUAACAGUUGGAAACGACUGCUAAUACCGGAUGAUGUCUUCGGACCAAAGAUUUAUCGCCUUUAGAUGGGCCCGCGUUGGAUUAGCUAGUUGGUGGGGUAAAGGCCUACCAAGGCGACGAUCCAUAGCUGGUCUGAGAGGAUGAUCAGCCACACUGGGACUGAGACACGGCCCAGACUCCUACGGGAGGCAGCAGUGGGGAAUAUUGGACAAUGGGCGAAAGCCUGAUCCAGCAAUGCCGCGUGAGUGAUGAA
This 356-nucleotide ribosomal RNA is filed under the name uncultured Sphingomonadales bacterium. RNAcentral describes it as "bacterial SSU rRNA". It matches the Rfam family "Bacterial small subunit ribosomal RNA", at positions 29 to 412 of the family's 1533-position model. Lineage: Bacteria; Pseudomonadati; Pseudomonadota; Alphaproteobacteria; Sphingomonadales. The record is from RNAcentral.